This 208-nucleotide ribosomal RNA is filed under the name Neoponera apicalis. Its description in RNAcentral is "partial large subunit ribosomal RNA". The record is from RNAcentral. Lineage: Eukaryota; Metazoa; Arthropoda; Insecta; Hymenoptera; Formicidae.
GAAUUUAAUAUAAUUUUUUUAUAAAUUAGUAUAAUUAUUAUAUUUAAUUGGGGGGAUUAUUAAAUUUAAAAAACUUUAAUAUAAAAAAAAACUUUGAUUAAAGAAAAUAUUUUUUUAAUAAUGAGUAAUUUUAAUUAUUUAAGAAUUAAUUACCUUAGGGAUAACAGCAUAAUAAUUUUUUUUAGAUCUUAUAUAAAAAAUUGUUUAU